RNAcentral lists this ribosomal RNA (1086 nucleotides) under Triticum aestivum (bread wheat). RNAcentral describes it as "partial small subunit ribosomal RNA". The record is from RNAcentral. Lineage: Eukaryota; Viridiplantae; Streptophyta; Magnoliopsida; Poales; Poaceae.
AUGGCUGCCUCACAUGGUCUUCUCGUUCAUCAAAUGGACGUUAAGACGGCUUCCCUCAAUGGAGAAUUGAAGGAGGAAAUUUACAUGGAUCAGCCAGAUGGUUUUGUAGUACCUGGUCAGGAAGGAAAGGUGUGCAAGUUAUUAAAGUCUUUAUAUGGCCUUAAACAAGCUCCUAAGGAGUGGCAUGAGAAGUUCGAAAGAACAUUAACUGCUGUCGGCUUUGUAGUAAACGAUGGUGACAAGUGUGUGUACUAUCGCUAUGGUGGGGGCGAAGGAGUUAUUCUUUGUCUGUAUGUCGACGACAUAUUGAUCUUUGGAACCAAACUUGAUUUAAUCAAGGAGGUUAAGGAUUUCUUAUCUCGCUGUUUUGAGAUGAAGGAUCUAGGAGUAGCUGAUGUUAUCUUAAACAUCAAGCUGUUGAGAGAUGAGAAUGGUGGGAUCACACUGCUUCAGUCUCACUAUGUGGAAAAGGUCUUGAGUCGUUUUGGGUAUAGCGACUGCACACCUUCUCCAACUCCAUAUGAUGCUAGUGUUGCCACGAGGCCUGACAUCUCUUUUGCUGUGAGCAAGCUGAGUCGGUUUGUGUCAAAACCGAGAGAUGAUCAUUGGCAUGCGCUUGAGAGAGUUAUGCGCUAUUUGAAAGGCACCGCGAGCUAUGAGAUUCACUACACCGGGUAUCCAAGGGUACUGGAGGGUUAUAGUGACUCAAACUGGAUUUCUGAUGCUGAUGAGAUAAAGGCCACAAGUGGUUAUGUCUUUACACUUGAUGGUGACACUGCCACUGUUGAAGCAGAGUGGCUUCGUGAACUCUUGAUGGACUUGCCUAUGGUUGAAAAACCAAUACCCCCUAUCCUGAUGAACUGUGAUAAUCAAACUGUGAUCGUCAAGAUAAACAGUUCGAAGGACAAUAUGAAGUCCUCAAGACAUGUGAAGAGGAGACUAAAAUCUGUCAGAAAAUUGAGGAACUCCGGAGUUAUUACGUUGGAUUAUAUCCAAACGUCGAAAAACUUGGCAGAUCCCUUCACAAAGGGUCUAUCACGUAAUGUGAUAGAUAAUGCAUCGAUGGAGAUGGGUUUGAGACCCACC